RNAcentral lists this ribosomal RNA (468 nucleotides) under uncultured bacterium. RNAcentral describes it as "partial 16S ribosomal RNA". It matches the Rfam family "Bacterial small subunit ribosomal RNA", at positions 28 to 507 of the family's 1533-position model. The record is from RNAcentral.
GACGAACGCUGGCGGCGUGCCUAACACAUGCAAGUCGAACGGAAAGGCCCUGAUUUUGUGGGGUGCUCGAGUGGCGAACGGGUGAGUAACACGUGUGUAACCUGCCCUUGACUUUCGGAUAACUUCAGGAAACUGGGGCUAAUACCGGAUAGGAUCUCCUGCAGCAUGGUGGGCGUUGGAUAGUUUCGGCGGUUGGGGAUGGACUAGCGGCUUAUCAGCUUGUUGGUGGGGUAGUGGCUUACCAAGGCUUUGACGGGUAGCCGGCCUGAGAGGGUGACCGGCCACAUGGGGCCUGAGGUACGGCCCAGACGCCUACGGGAGGCAGCAGGGGGGAAUAUGGCACAAUGAGCGGAAGCCUGUUGCAGCAACGCCGCGUGCGGGAUGACGGCUUUCUGGUUGUAAACCGCUUUCGCCUGUGACGAAGCGGGAGUGACGGUAAUGGGUAAAGAAGCACCGGCUAACUACGUG